AACGAACGCUGGCGGCAUGCCUAACACAUGCAAGUCGAACGAUUGCCUUCGGGUGAUAGUGGCGCACGGGUGCGUAACGCGUGGGAAUCUGCCCUUAGGUUCGGAAUAACAGCUGGAAACGGCUGCUAAUACCGGAUGAUAUCGCGAGAUCAAAGAUUUAUCGCCUGAGGAUGAGCCCGCGUUGGAUUAGUUAGUUGGUGGGGUAAAGGCCUACCAAGCCGACGAUCCAUAGCUGGUCUGAGAGGAUGAUCAGCCACACUGGGACUGAGACACGGCCCAGACUCCUACGGGAGGCAGCAGUGGGGAAUAUUGGACAAUGGGCGCAAGCCUGAUCCAGCAAUGCCGCGUGAGUGAUGAAGGCCCUAGGGUUGUAAAGCUCUUUUACCCGGGAAGAUAAUGACUGUACCGGGAGAAUAAGCCCCGGCUAACUCCGUG
RNAcentral lists this ribosomal RNA (435 nucleotides) under uncultured bacterium. RNAcentral describes it as "partial 16S ribosomal RNA". It matches the Rfam family "Bacterial small subunit ribosomal RNA", at positions 29 to 507 of the family's 1533-position model. The record is from RNAcentral.